CCCAGAGACAGAUACGACUACCUUCCCAGGGUCCCCCACCACAUCCAAGAUACGGAGCCUGUUGGUUACCAGGAUCCAGAGCUGUCGAACCGUGUGCCCAAAGGACAAAGCUGUCUGAUUGGCUGCUGCAACGCCAACCUGGAGGAACCCAGCAGUUUCCACAGCCAGACAGAGGAUGAGGAUGUGAUACUGGACAAGUCCCUGGGCUACCUGCCCC
This is a long non-coding RNA of Hypomesus transpacificus, 217 nucleotides long. RefSeq lists it as uncharacterized. The transcript has 3 exons. Lineage: Eukaryota; Metazoa; Chordata; Actinopteri; Osmeriformes; Osmeridae. The record is from RefSeq and is a predicted model, not a curated record.